AUUGAACGCUGGCGGCAUGCUUUACACAUGCAAGUCGAACGGUAACAGGCCGCAAGGUGCUGACGAGUGGCGAACGGGUGAGUAAUGCAUCGGAACGUGCCCAGUCGUGGGGGAUAACUACUCGAAAGAGUAGCUAAUACCGCAUACGAUCUAUGGAUGAAAGCGGGGGACCGUAAGGCCUCGCGCGAUUGGAGCGGCCGAUGUCAGAUUAGGUAGUUGGUGGGGUAAAGGCUCACCAAGCCAACGAUCUGUAGCUGGUCUGAGAGGACGACCAGCCACACUGGGACUGAGGCACGGCCCAGACUCCUACGGGAGGCAGCAGUGGGGAAUUUAGGACAAUGGGCGCAAGCCUGAUCCAGCAAUGCCGCGUGCAGGAAGAAGGCCUUCGGGUUGGAAACUGCUUUUGUACGGAACGAAACGGCUCUGGUUAAUACCCGGGGCUAAUGACGGUACCGUAAGAAUAAGCACCGGCUAACUACGUG
RNAcentral lists this ribosomal RNA (482 nucleotides) under uncultured bacterium. RNAcentral's name for it is "partial 16S ribosomal RNA". It matches the Rfam family "Bacterial small subunit ribosomal RNA", at positions 30 to 507 of the family's 1533-position model. The record is from RNAcentral.